AUUGAACGCUGGCGGCAUGCCUUACACAUGCAAGUCGAGCGAUCUUCUUCGGAAGAGAGCGGCGGACGGGUGAGUAACGCGUGGGUAACCUGCCCUGUACACACGGAUAACAUACCGAAAGGUAUGCUAAUACGGGAUAAUAUGCUUUUAUCGCAUGGUAGAAGUAUCAAAGCUCCGGCGGUACAGGAUGGACCCGCGUCUGAUUAGCUAGUUGGUAAGGUAACGGCUUACCAAGGCGACGAUCAGUAGCCGACCUGAGAGGGUGAUCGGCCACAUUGGAACUGAGACACGGUCCAAACUCCUACGGGAGGCAGCAGUGGGGAAUAUUGCACAAUGGGCGAAAGCCUGAUGCAGCAACGCCGCGUGAGCGAUGAAGGCCUUCGGGUCGUAAAGCUCUGUCCUCAAGGAAGAUAAUGACGGUACUUGAGGAGGAAGCCCCGGCUAACUACGUGCCAGCAGCCGCCGUAA
Molecule: ribosomal RNA, 468 nt
Filed under: uncultured bacterium
Lineage: Bacteria
Description: partial 16S ribosomal RNA
Rfam family: Bacterial small subunit ribosomal RNA
Source: RNAcentral